CUGAAAGUUCAGUGUAUACAAACCCAGUAUAGCAUCUAUCUUCCAUGUAGUCUGGGCUUGCAGUUGAUCGGCAUCUUAUCUGUUUUCAAUAGACAAAAUUAUAUCAGUAAAGAAACGACGAAGAAGUGAAAUCAAUAGCGAUGAAACUAUUUAAGUUCUCCAUGCUCUUCUUUGCAUUGCUGACGAUCAGCUGUUUCCGUGAAUCUGACGCGAAUCCAGCCUGGUUUCUUCGUAUUGCUGCCGCCUUGGGCGUGAAGCUUGUUAAGAAUUCCUYMUACGCYCGWUGUAACACYCGCUAUUUACCGACCGGGAUGAACUGUCCGAGCGUGGUGUAUGGGGRUGGGCRGUCUAGAAACCAAGCACAAAAUUCAGCGAGYGUUUACGCGGAGAUGUUUGGGGAUCAUGGUUGUGGACGUUACGUUGGUCAUUGCCAAAUCAAAAAAUUCAGCAAAAGGGGAUGAAACUUCACACGUCUGUCAGUCUUAUGAGAAUAUAACAAAAGUGUAAAUCCAACAUAUGUAGCGAAAUAAAGACUGCUAUAUACAUCCCGAGAA
Long non-coding RNA from Exaiptasia diaphana, 554 nucleotides. RefSeq lists it as uncharacterized. The transcript is spliced from 2 exons. Lineage: Eukaryota; Metazoa; Cnidaria; Anthozoa; Actiniaria; Aiptasiidae. The record is from RefSeq and is a predicted model, not a curated record.